GACAGAGGGUGCAAACGUUGUUCGGAAUUACUGGGCGUAAAGCGUGUGUAGGCGGCCAAGCAAGUCGGAUGUGAAAGCCCCGGGCUCAACCCGGGAAGUGCACUCGAUACUGCUAGGCUGGAGUGUGGGAGAGGUUGGUGGAAUUCUCGGUGUAGAGGUGAAAUUCGUAGAUAUCGAGAGGAACACCGGCGGCGAAGGCGGCCAACUGGACCAACACUGACGCUGAGACACGAAAGCGUGGGGAGCAAACAGG
Molecule: ribosomal RNA, 253 nt
Filed under: uncultured bacterium
Lineage: Bacteria
Description: partial 16S ribosomal RNA
Rfam family: Bacterial small subunit ribosomal RNA
Source: RNAcentral